GGUUAAGUGACUAAGCGUACACGGUGGAUGCCUUGGCAGUCAGAGGCGAUGAAGGACGUAUUAACUUGCGAUAAGCCCAGAUUAGGUAGUAAAAACCAUUUGAGUCUGGGAUUUCCGAAUGGGGAAACCCAAUACCAUAAGGUAUUACUGUUGAGUGAAUACAUAGCUCAACAGGGCGAACCGGGGGAACUGAAACAUCUAAGUACCCCGAGGAAAAGAAAUCAACCGAGAUUCCGAAAGUAGCGGCGAGCGAAAUUGGACUAGCCCUUAAGCUUUACACGCGUUAGACGAACAGCCUGGAAAGGCCGACGAUACAGGGUGAUAGUCCCGUAGUUGACGACGUGUGUUCAGUGAAAUCGAGUAGGGCGGGACACGUGAUAUCCUGUCUGAAUAUGGGGGGACCAUCCUCCAAGGCUAAAUACUACUGACUGACCGAUAGUGAACCAGUACCGUGAGGGAAAGGCGAAAAGAACCCCUGUGAGGGGAGUGAAAUAGAACCUGAAACCGUGUACGUACAAGCAGUAGGAGCAGGCUUGUCCUGUGACUGCGUACCUUUUGUAUAAUGGGUCAGCGACUUAUAUUCAGUGGCAAGGUUAACCAUCUAGGGGAGCCGUAGGGAAACCGAGUCUUAACUGGGCGUUCAGUCUCUGGAUAUAGACCCGAAACCAGGUGAUCUAGCCAUGGGCAGGUUGAAGGUUGAGUAACAUCAACUGGAGGACCGAACCGACUAAUGUUGAAAAAUUAGCGGAUGACUUGUGGCUAGGGGUGAAAGGCCAAUCAAACCUGGAGAUAGCUGGUUCUCCCCGAAAGCUAUUUAGGUAGCGCCUCGGACGAAUACUACUGGGGGUAGAGCACUGUUAAGGCUAGGGGGUCAUCCCGACUUACCAACCCUUUGCAAACUCCGAAUACCAGUAAGUACUAUCCGGGAGACACACGGCGGGUGCUAACGUCCGUCGUGGAGAGGGAAACAACCCAGACCGCCAGCUAAGGUCCCAAAUUACUACUAAGUGGGAAACGAUGUGGGAAGGCUCAGACAGCCAGGAUGUUGGCUUAGAAGCAGCCAUCAUUUAAAGAAAGCGUAAUAGCUCACUGGUCGAGUCGGCCUGCGCGGAAGAUGUAACGGGGCUAAGUAGUAAACCGAAGCUGCGGCAAUGCACUUUAGUGCAUUGGGUAGGGGAGCGUUCUGUAAGCGGUUGAAGGUGUGUGGUAACGCAUGCUGGACGUAUCAGAAGUGCGAAUGCUGACAUGAGUAACGAUAAAGGGGGUGAAAAACCUCCUCGCCGGAAGACCAAGGGUUCCUGUCCAACGUUAAUCGGGGCAGGGUAAGUCGACCCCUAAGGCGAGGCCGAAAGGCGUAGUCGAUGGGAAACGGGUUAAUAUUCCCGUACUUCUUACAAUUGCGAUGGGGGGACGGAGAAGGCUAGGUGGGCCUGGCGACGGUUGUCCAGGUUCAAGUGCGUAGGCUGAGAAAUUAGGUAAAUCCGGUUUCUCUUAAGGCUGAGACACGACGUCGAGCAUCUACGGAUGUGAAGUCAUUGAUGCCAUGCUUCCAGGAAAAGCCUCUAAGCUUCAGAUUGUAAGGAAUCGUACCCCAAACCGACACAGGUGGUCGGGUAGAGAAUACCAAGGCGCUUGAGAGAACUCGGGUGAAGGAACUAGGCAAAAUGGUACCGUAACUUCGGGAGAAGGUACGCUCUCGACGGUGAAGUCCCUCGCGGAUGGAGCUAUUGAGAGUCGCAGAUACCAGGUGGCUGCAACUGUUUAUUAAAAACACAGCACUGUGCAAAAUCGCAAGAUGACGUAUACGGUGUGACGCCUGCCCGGUGCCGGAAGGUUAAUUGAUGGGGUUAGACUUCGGUCGAAGCUCUUGAUCGAAGCCCCGGUAAACGGCGGCCGUAACUAUAACGGUCCUAAGGUAGCGAAAUUCCUUGUCGGGUAAGUUCCGACCUGCACGAAUGGCGUAAUGAUGGCCACGCUGUCUCCACCCGAGACUCAGUGAAAUUGAAAUCGCUGUGAAGAUGCAGUGUACCCGCGGCUAGACGGAAAGACCCCGUGAACCUUUACUACAGCUUGGCACUGAACAUUGACCCUACAUGUGUAGGAUAGGUGGGAGGCUUUGAAGCGCAGUCGCUAGAUUGCGUGGAGCCGUCCUUGAAAUACCACCCUUGUAGUGUUGAUGUUCUAACGU
Molecule: ribosomal RNA, 2188 nt
Filed under: Vibrio sp. 2art
Lineage: Bacteria; Pseudomonadati; Pseudomonadota; Gammaproteobacteria; Vibrionales; Vibrionaceae
Description: partial 23S ribosomal RNA
Rfam family: Bacterial large subunit ribosomal RNA
Source: RNAcentral